RNAcentral lists this ribosomal RNA (478 nucleotides) under uncultured bacterium. RNAcentral describes it as "partial 16S ribosomal RNA". It matches the Rfam family "Bacterial small subunit ribosomal RNA", at positions 28 to 507 of the family's 1533-position model. The record is from RNAcentral.
GAUGAACGCUGGUGGCGUGCUUAACACAUGCAAGUCGAACGGACAGUUGUAAACAUUAGCCUCCUGGGGAUAUUACUAAUGGGAUGGGCGAACGGUGGAUUAACUCCUUAUCAGCCUGCCUAUAACAGGGGGAUAGCGUCCUGAUACCGGGAUUAAUACCGCAUCAAAUCGUAGAAUCGCAUGUUUUAACGUUCAAAGACUUAUUGGUCAUAUAGGGGCGGGCUUCUGUUUCGCUUGUUGUUGAGGUAACAGCCCACCAAGGCGACGAUCAGUAGACGGUAUGAGAGGAUGAACGGACACACUGGAACUGAGCCACGGUCCAAACUCUUACGCGAGGCAGCAGUGGGGAAUAUAGCACAAUGGCGGAAAUCAUGAUGGAGCGACGAUGCGUGAACGAAGAAGGUAUUCGUAUAGUAAAGUUCUGUCAUAUGGGAAGAUAAUGACAGUACCAAAGAAGAAAGCUACGGCUAAAUACGUG